Molecule: long non-coding RNA, 414 nt
Filed under: Fukomys damarensis (Damara mole-rat)
Lineage: Eukaryota; Metazoa; Chordata; Mammalia; Rodentia; Bathyergidae
Description: lncRNA (ENSFDAG00000029902.1)
Source: RNAcentral
GGAGAGCAAGCAGGAAGGGGCGUCCCGAGAUAGGCGCUGUCUUCUGCCUGAGCCAUUCACCUGCCUGCUCAUUUCUGGAACUGCUGGUUUGGUCAACUACAUUAUCCAACAGAGCGAAGAAAGGACGCUUUUGCUUGAGCACCUGGGCUGGAGGGGAGAGUUUGAAGAAAAUCCUGGAGAAGAUGUCUGUGCCUGUGGCUGUGAGGGGCCUGGGCCGAGUGUGAAUGUGCUGCACGGUGCAGCCACUGAGCCCUGUGAACUUCAACCCCGGCACUGUCUGGAAGUGAGAACCCGAGCUUUCUCCUGUCUCCCUGGCCACGGAACUCUAGAGUGCACUUGUGGACGUGGGUGCGACUGCCCCAGAGCCGGCAGCAGGAUGCCCCGGUGAUGUGGACUAGCCUGGCCCAGGCCCGC